This 253-nucleotide ribosomal RNA is filed under the name uncultured bacterium. RNAcentral's name for it is "partial 16S ribosomal RNA". It matches the Rfam family "Bacterial small subunit ribosomal RNA", at positions 524 to 776 of the family's 1533-position model. The record is from RNAcentral.
GACGUAGGGCGCGAGCGUUGUCCGGAUUUAUUGGGCGUAAAGAGCUCGUAGGCGGCUUGUUGCGUCGACUGUGAAAACCCGCGGCUUAACUGCGGGCUUGCAGUUGAUACGGGCAGGCUAGAGUUCGGUAGGGGAGACUGGAAUUCCUGGUGUAGCAGUGAAAUGCGUAGAGAUGUGGAGGAACACCGAUGGCGAAGGCAACCCCCUGGGACGAUACUGACGCUGAGGCACGAAAGCGUGGGGAGCAAACAGG